CCUACGGGUGGCAGCAGUGGGGAAUAUUGCACAAUGGGGGAAACCCUGAUGCAGCGACGCCGCGUGAGUGAAGAAGUAUCUCGGGAUGUAAAGCUCUAUCAGCAGGGAAGAAAAUGACGGUACCUGAUUAAGAAGCCCCGGCUAACUACGUGCGAGCAGCCGCGGUAAUACGUAGGGGGCAAGCGUUAUCCGGAUUUACUGGGUGUAAAGGGAGCGUAGACGGCAGCACAAGUCUGGAGUGAAAUGCCGGGGCUUAACCCCGGUACUGCCGUGGAAACUGUGCAGCUAGAGUGCAGGAGAGGUAAGUGGAAUUCCUAGUGUAGCGGUGAAAUGCGUAGAUAUUAGGCGGAACACCAGUGGCGAAGGCAGCUUACUGGACUGUAACUGACGUUGAGGCUCGAAAGCGUGGGGAGCGAACAGGAUUAGAUACCCGAGUAGUC
Molecule: ribosomal RNA, 440 nt
Filed under: uncultured bacterium
Lineage: Bacteria
Description: partial 16S ribosomal RNA
Rfam family: Bacterial small subunit ribosomal RNA
Source: RNAcentral